Molecule: long non-coding RNA, 626 nt
Filed under: Lathyrus oleraceus (garden pea)
Lineage: Eukaryota; Viridiplantae; Streptophyta; Magnoliopsida; Fabales; Fabaceae
Description: Pisum sativum (pea) long non-coding RNA (PSAT_LNC001314)
Source: RNAcentral
AGUUUGACCAAGAGUUGACUUUUUGACUCAAACAUUUUUUCAGCAUUUGGCCAAUUGGGACAGCUCAUAAAUGUCAUUUAGAAGGUGUUUGCAAGGUCAAAUUAUGCAGCCCAUGUGAAUAUUGCUUGGUUGCUUGAAUUGUAAGAAAGUACCAUUGCACCAUACUUGUCCAUGCCUUGCCUUGUACCUCAAAAGGACAGCAUUAUGCAGCAACUUUUCUGUCAUGGUGAGCCUAUUUUGCAGCCUAAACCAACAACAGUAAAGGGCCAUGCUUAGUUGCUAAAAGAUGGGCAAAAGUACAUGUGUUUACCAUGCUUCCACAACCAUACUUGUACCAUGGCCAUGAUAGCUUUAAGGAUUUUCCUUUUCUGCAGUAGCAACACAGCAGGGACCAUUCCUUUCACUCAUCAACAGAUUUCGAACCUUGGCCAUUCUUCACUAAUGCAUUGGUACACAAGCCAUAUUGGAUUUCCAUUUUGCUGUCAAAAACAUCUCUGUCAUAAAAGACCAAGGGAGCCUUACAAUUUAUUUUGGCCAAGGCAAAUUGAUUGUACAACUCUCACUCAAAAGAUCCACUUCACCUUGGCCAUUGGGAAAGGAACUGUCAAGCAUCCAACAGUAGGGGC